UGAACAAGUGGGUGCAGCUGCCACCUUGUCAAGUGGAUUCCACAUGUCCUUUUUUUUUUCAAUUUUGCCCUCUCUUUCUUUUCAGCCCAGCAUUCUUUUUAUUCUGGCUUGAUCAGCGCUACCCAGCCAUACAGCAGAGGGCCAAGCCUCGACUUGCAAACUAGGCCACAGCCUAUUAGCGGCUUGUACCAAAAUGCAUAGCGCCAGCAAAAUAGGAAUAAAACUGUGGAGAGCCUGUACAGGAC
This 245-nucleotide long non-coding RNA is filed under the name Setaria italica (foxtail millet). Its description in RNAcentral is "long non-coding RNA (SITA_LNC007163)". The record is from RNAcentral. Lineage: Eukaryota; Viridiplantae; Streptophyta; Magnoliopsida; Poales; Poaceae.